Molecule: long non-coding RNA, 4540 nt
Organism: Rhipicephalus microplus (southern cattle tick)
Lineage: Eukaryota; Metazoa; Arthropoda; Arachnida; Ixodida; Ixodidae
Source: RefSeq, a predicted model, not a curated record
UUGCGUGCGCCGGCUGCGCCACAGAACACCAGCUGGGCAGCGCGCCAAAAAGAAUUUUGUUUGCCCAUGACAUCCUGUCCUGGUGAUGCCACCAUAGCUGCUAUUUCGCGUGAACGAGACGCCUGGCUUCGCCCAAUGGACAUGAUCUCCGUAUUCCGUCUUUUCGUUACCUGGUCUGCUUGAAAGUGGUGUAGAGCACUUCGAAAGCAUUGCAAUCCACCCCUUCGUGUGGGAUCAGCCUGAGGUGCCUCAAGCAGUGAAGCUCCUGCCUUAAAUCUCGUGAGCCAACUUUCUUAAGAGCCAUGGUGGUCAGCCGAAGACUGGAACCAAGUGCUUCCAAGUAGAAGAUUUGGCUUUUCCAUGCUUGCUGAAAUGGUUGGUCGUCGCCUACAGAGCAAGUAGAAGCAAGCAAGCACAACAGCUCGUGGACCAGCCUCAGUGAACCUUGCAGAUUUCGGCCAUACACCAGCUCUGCUUGUGCAAAUUCCGUUCCUUCAUGUGGCAAGAUGCACAAUGCAGACUGCGUGCCAGGGGACCCGGGUUGCUUGAGCGGUUCCACAACAGCUCAGCCUUCGGACCUCAAAUCUCCGUCAAAACUAUUGUCCGUUUCAUGGGCCAUUACCUGCUUGCGUUAAAGUUGCCAAGCUGACCUGGAUGCUACAUCACAGCCACCGAACAGAGCUGGAUUUCCUGAACACCCUCACCAAAGCUGAAGAUGCCUUCCUACCAUCAUUUCUGUUCCUGGAUUGCAUUCUCACCUGAAAGGAUGGAUCCACUCCCAUGCAACAGCACUGAGCAGACCUGCUCUGGGCCCAUUUGACGUUUCUUGGUGGACGCCGAGAUGCUGCCGGUGAACUCUGCUGUGUGCAUUCGAAUGCCGCUAGCACAAGGAAGCCUGGAUUAAAAUAAGCAUUCCUAAUAUGCAUAUAUUAGGUUUAUAAUGCAGUUACAGGGACACAGAAGGCAAAUGACAUUUUGUCAGAGUGAAAGCCCAAUGUAUGACAACGUACAAAAAUGCAAUAUUAUCAGCAGCAGUGCCCUACUUACAGAGAAAUUAAGGUGAAUGUAUCGCACAAUGUGCCCCUUGAGUGAGACACUUGUGAAAUGAUCCUGAUGAUGAAAGCAUUAGACUACAAUAAUCACUAGUACUCAUACUAUUGUAAUGAACGAGACAGAAACAGCACCGAUUCCUUCACCGGCUUUUCUAUUCUUUUUUCUCUAUUUUGCUCUGACUGCCCGCGUGCCCUAAACCUGGUAUUGCUCUUCAUCAUCACGCUAACUACAAGAAAAGUUUCCUAGCUUGCUGUGUGCCUCCUCUUUGCUUUGUUUCUGUGUUUACCCCCACGCUUCCAGUUUGCUUAACCAUUAAGAACCUUGUUCCCGGAUGGUAAUGUUUGUGGUGGUCUGAAAACUAGCACUCGGUUACUGCAUGCAUUGAAAAAUUUGCUGAUCAGCUUCGGCAACUCUAUGCUGUCUUCUACGUCCUGAUGAACGUGUGCCAGUGCCAUGCAGCUUAGCUGUGUUUUUCCCGUCUUGCUUCACAGGAAUGUCUUUGGUCUUCUGACGGCAAUGAGGGAUCAUUCACUCGAUGACCUGAAGCACACUCUAUCUCCUUGAGUACUGGCCAGUAGGCUCAUGCAUGUUACAAAUUAUUGCCACCACGCAGUCGACAGAACUCUGUUCUGGGUGCUCUUCAUGCAAUAAGCUAACGAGAGAUGCGACUUUGUUGGAGUCAAUGUCCUUGUAGCGUUGCGUCACCUCCACAUUUGCUUUCAAUAGCAUAUUUAAAAGAAAACUUUCCAGUGCCUUGUACAUGGCAGGUCUUUUUGAGUCGAGAUUAAAGCGCCUCUCUCUGCCUGACAGUGUGCCAUCCAUGGUUGAAACAAUAUGCACCGAAAGUAUUCUCUGCUUUGAUCGGAAUGACACAUGUGCUCCCUUUCUCACACUUGGUUGGACACCGUCUGUAUAUAAGCUUAUUCACUGAAUGUACCUUACCAUUCUACGCGACUUUAGCAGCAUGUUUUUUUAACAGUUCAUGAAACAUUUCUUCAUACCGCAAAUGGCGUAACUCAUGCUUGACAUACUCUACAACCAGGAACGUUAGGAUAACCCCUAAUGAAAAUUGUUGUAGGCUUGUGUUCAGGUUCUCAAGCACCGAAAACACACUCAAAGCGAUUUCUAGAAGAAGGACGGCGUUUCCGAAUUCCAUUAAGCAAGAAAGUUCACCAAUAUUUGCAGAUUGCUUUGCUGGAGCUUCUUUCUUCAUUUCUCCUGAGGAAGCAUUUACGACCUCUUGCUUGUUCAGUGCAGCACGUAUAGCUGGCUUUCUGCAUAAGAAACGCAGUGUACACUGGAAUUUGAUGUCCAUGCUAAAGUUUUUUUUACUAUAAAUCUGUUUAAAUGUGCUGAGAUUGGACCCAAUUUCCCUAACAUUCAUGAGAGUGUGCCCAGUUUUCCUAGCAGCUAUAAAAGCAUCUGGAAAGUUCUGCACAGCAUUCAGAGAGGCCACGAGCUACAAGAGUGCAGCUGUGAACUCUACAAGGGAAGUAACUGGCAAUCGGGUUUUGAGAUUUUAUAAGGGCUUGACAGCCAUUCAACUCUUCUCUCUGGUUGGCAGCUCCAUCAUAAGUCUUCACUCUGCAUCCGCAUAGUGGGGACCCAACUGUAGUCAAUAAAUACAUCAACACUUCCUUCUGCACUUGUGGCUCCCUUCGUAUUUGGCUGUGUACAAAGCCUUAAAAGAACCUAGGUUGAUCUGAGUGCCACUUGUGGUAAUGGAGUAGUUUGUUGAAACAAUUCAUUGCUCAGUGUUUUGAGACUGCCUUUUCAAAGAGCUCAAUAAUUUUCCUUUGCAGCAAAGGGAAUGUGUUGGUCGUGUUUCACUUGAUCAAAGCAGUCAACUCUUCAUUGUCUUUUUCUUGUGAGGCGAGAUAUUGGUGAAAGCUUCCUUCUCUUUUUUCUGAAUGACUCUUAAACUGUGAGCCCUGGUACAGGCGAUGCUUGGGCGCCUGAAAAAUAAUCUAGAGAUGGCGCCUCUCCACUUCCGGCUGCUUUCCAGCCUUUGUGUUGAUUUGGUCGUGGACUGACGUCGACUGAAGGCUGCAUUGCUGGUGCACUGUAUUUUUAUCCUCCUUCAGAAUUCUCUUGUUAGGCAAAUUCUUGAUCAGCAUUCUUUCAGUUUGUGAAUCCAGCUACAGGGAAUGCAUCGGGAGUUGGCUGUUUUGAAGGUUUCAAGAAUUUUUGUUGUCUUGCUGUUGUCUUUACAUUGACACCGUGCCUAGAGUCAAAGCACCGUUUUUUUUUACUGCGUGAUCUAGAAACACAUGUCAUCGAAAUACUAAAAACACUAGCACAGAAAUGCAUUUUCCUGAGGCCCAAGAAUCUUAUAGAAGCAUCGUAGGUUUAGAUUUUUGUUUCAAACAUUUUAUCAUGGCAGAGUGACAAUAUUCUUGUUCUGCGAAAUUUGGGAAAGCAUUUGCAUUGCUUGUAGCAGUCCUAAAGGUCAUUUUCAGAAUUAUUUUUGACACAUUAUGUAUGCCCUCACAGCCUCUUGUUUCCGCUGCAACAUCUGACCCUACAUAUGUGUGUCUACAGAAAGACUUUAAUAGAUUACCUUCAGCUGCAGACACAUUCAGUGAACUUUACGACUUAUUUCGUUGAGUAAGUGACAAGGUUCUUAGCAAUCAAAGAGCAAAUUCUUGCCAGAUUGCAUUAUGCUCUAUCCAUAUCAGCCUAAAGGUUUCUUUAGGUUAUUGGAUAGGCCGUGGUUAAAAGUGGCGUAGUUUCUUUGCCCUCAGCUUGCUCCUGCCUUCUGAUUUCCCAUCUUAAUUUCUAAUGAGCAACUUUCAUAUUGUAUAACUAUGAAUUGCUCAUCUACAUGUAUAGAAAUUGUUUAUUGUCUUUUGCAAUUUUGAGAUGUCCUGCCAUUUUUUUCUCAGUCCUUUGUAGUUGAAUUCUGACCCUGCAUUUGUUGUGAUCUAACUUGGGGUGUGCAUAUGCAUUUGGGCCAGUUUGUUUAUAACUUGCUGUGGAAUAAGCGGAAAGAAAAGGAUAGACAAAAAGAAAGGACCAAACACAGCGCUGCGGUUUGUCUCUCUUCUUCUGUCCUGUUCUUUCCCCUGUUUCCCCAGCAAGUUGACUUUGUUGAUUUUUUUCUCUAUCCUCUGUUGAAGUUGUAUCGGUGGUCAAUAUUUCCGGAGCCCUGCACUACGGCGUCUCUCAUAAUCAAGUAGUGGCUUUGGGACGUUAAACCCCACAAAUCAAUCAAUCAAGUUGUAUCGGCUGUACACAUCUUGCAUUGUCAUCUGUGAAAGCUGGUCAAACUUUCUGUUUUCACAUAGGGUGCACUUGCUUCAUUUUGUCUCGCCAAGCUUCUUUUUAUCUUCUCUCUCUGAAAUUCAUCAAUGUCAAUAUGUUGUAGCGUGUAAAAGGAUUCUUAGUUUCUAGGUCUCGUGAUGAAUGCUCACCACAUGUGGCUGCAGACUUAUCAAAAUGCUGUUGGGAAAAAUCAAAUAAACAUUUGGAGGUUGGCACUUGUGUA